Molecule: long non-coding RNA, 274 nt
Filed under: Brachypodium distachyon (stiff brome)
Lineage: Eukaryota; Viridiplantae; Streptophyta; Magnoliopsida; Poales; Poaceae
Description: long non-coding RNA (BDIS_LNC002925)
Source: RNAcentral
GACGGUGGUGAACCUGGGGUUCCUUCGCAAGAAACCAAAACACCUGAUCUAUGCUCGGCUAAAAUUUUCUUGUUGAGAUAAACUUAAAAAGAUAACUAUAUCAUUAAAAAAAAACUUCAUGCACACAAAAAAAGAACUUUGUAAAAGCUAUCACACAUUUAGCGUCGCAUCGUUCGAGAUGACAGACGUACUGAUCGAAGGCGCGCGCAAUGCUGAAACAGCAGCUAGUAGCCAGCAACCACUUACUGACAUGGAGCGCACCCCAGUGCUUAUC